GACAGAGGGUGCAAACGUUGCUCGGAAUUACUGGGCGUAAAGCGCGUGUAGGUGGCCACGCAAGUCAGGUGUGAAAGCCCAGGGCUCAACCCUGGAAGUGCACAUGAUACUACGUGGCUGGAGUACUGAAGAGGAGAGCGGAAUUCCCGGUGUAGAGGUGAAAUUCGUAGAUAUCGGGAGGAACACCAGUGGCGAAGGCGGCUCUCUGGGCAGAUACUGACACUGAGACGCGAAAGCGUGGGGAGCAAACAGG
This 253-nucleotide ribosomal RNA is filed under the name uncultured bacterium. RNAcentral describes it as "partial 16S ribosomal RNA". It matches the Rfam family "Bacterial small subunit ribosomal RNA", at positions 524 to 776 of the family's 1533-position model. The record is from RNAcentral.